RNAcentral lists this ribosomal RNA (253 nucleotides) under uncultured bacterium. RNAcentral's name for it is "partial 16S ribosomal RNA". It matches the Rfam family "Bacterial small subunit ribosomal RNA", at positions 524 to 776 of the family's 1533-position model. The record is from RNAcentral.
UACGGAGGAUGCAAGCGUUAUCCGGAAUUAUUGGGCGUAAAGCGUCCGCAGGUGGCAAUGUAAGUCUGCUGUUAAAGAGUCUAGCUCAACUAGAUAAGAGCAGUGGAAACUACAUAGCUAGAGUACGUUCGGGGCAGAGGGAAUUCCUGGUGUAGCGGUGAAAUGCGUAGAGAUCAGGAAGAACACCGGUGGCGAAGGCGCUCUGCUAGGCCGUAACUGACACUGAGGGACGAAAGCUAGGGGAGCGAAUGGG